UGCGUAGGCGGCCCGGUAAGUUGGGUGUGAAAUCCCUCGGCUCAACCGAGGAAUUGCGCCCAAAACUGCCGGGCUCGAGGGAGAUAGAGGUGAGCGGAACUUAGGGUGGAGCGGUGAAAUGCGUUGAUAUCCUAAGGAACACCGGUGGCGAAAGCGGCUCACUGGGUCUUUUCUGACGCUGAGGCACGAAAGCUAGGGGAGCGAACGGGAUUAGAUACCCCGGUAGUCCUAGCCGUAAACGAUGAGCACUAGAUCGGAGGGUCCCCUAUAGCCCUCUGGUCGUAGCGAAAGUGUUAAGUGCUCCGCCUGGGGAGUAUGGUCGCAAGGCUGAA
Molecule: ribosomal RNA, 332 nt
Filed under: uncultured bacterium
Lineage: Bacteria
Description: bacterial SSU rRNA
Rfam family: Bacterial small subunit ribosomal RNA
Source: RNAcentral